RNAcentral lists this ribosomal RNA (238 nucleotides) under uncultured bacterium. Its description in RNAcentral is "partial 16S ribosomal RNA". It matches the Rfam family "Bacterial small subunit ribosomal RNA", at positions 117 to 353 of the family's 1533-position model. The record is from RNAcentral.
GUGGGUAACCUGCCUCAUACAGGGGGAUAACAGUUAGAAAUGACUGCUAAUACCGCAUAAGCGCACAGCAUCACAUGAUGCAGUGUGAAAAACUCCGGUGGUAUGAGAUGGACCCGCGUCUGAUUAGCUAGUUGGUGAGGUAACGGCUCACCAAGGCGACGAUCAGUAGCCGACCUGAGAGGGUGAUCGGCCACAUUGGGACUGAGACACGGCCCAAACUCCUACGGGAGGCAGCAUG